UGCAGUCGAACGAUGAGGGCCCAGCUUGCUGGGUCUGAUUAGUGGCGAACGGGUGAGUAACACGUGAGCAACCUGCCCCUGACUUCGGGAUAACCUCGGGAAAUCGUGGCUAAUACCGGAUAUGACGCCUCGCCGCAUGGUGGGGUGUGGAAAGACUGUGUCGGUUGGGGAUGGGCUCGCGGCCUAUCAGCUUGUUGGUGGGGUGAUGGCCUACCAAGGCGACGACGGGUAGCCGGCCUGAGAGGGUGACCGGCCACACUGGGACUGAGACACGGCCCAGACUCCUACGGGAGGCAGCAGUGGGGAAUAUUGCACAAUGGGCGCAAGCCUGAUGCAGCGACGCCGCGUGAGGGAUGACGGCCUUCGGGUUGUAAACCUCUUUCAGCAGGGGAGAAGGCCUUCGGGUUGACGGUACCUGCAGAAGAAGCGCCGGCUAACUACGUGCCAGCAGCCGCGGUAAUACGUAGGGCGCAAGCGUUGUCCGGAAUUAUUGGGCGUAAAGAGCUCGUAGGCGGUUUGUCGCGUCUGCUGUGAAAACGCGAGGCUCAACCUCGCGCCUGCAGUGGGUACGGGCAGACUAGAGUGCGGUAGGGGAGACUGGAAUUCCUGGUGUAGCGGUGGAAUGCGCAGAUAUCAGGAGGAACACCGGUGGCGAAGGCGGGUCUCUGGGCCGUUACUGACGCUGAGGAGCGAAAGCAUGGGGAGCGAACAGGAUUAGAUACCCUGGUAGUCCAUGCCGU
This 740-nucleotide ribosomal RNA is filed under the name Georgenia sp. NEAU-ST5-34. Its description in RNAcentral is "bacterial SSU rRNA". It matches the Rfam family "Bacterial small subunit ribosomal RNA", at positions 56 to 803 of the family's 1533-position model. Lineage: Bacteria; Bacillati; Actinomycetota; Actinomycetes; Allobogoriellales; Allobogoriellaceae. The record is from RNAcentral.